This 5288-nucleotide long non-coding RNA is filed under the name Homalodisca vitripennis (glassy-winged sharpshooter). Its description in RNAcentral is "uncharacterized LOC124364465". Lineage: Eukaryota; Metazoa; Arthropoda; Insecta; Hemiptera; Cicadellidae. The record is from RNAcentral.
AGCAAACUUUCUCAGGAUAUUAAUGCUGUAUUUGGUUCUGUUUAGAUGCUUGUACGCUUUAGAGAAGCUCUACGAGAAAGGAGAAUUCCGUUUUUUUGGGAAAGAGAAAUGAAUUUGAUUGGUCACCUGAAAGAAGCUUAUAUCCAAAAUAGUUGUGACAGACUUAACAAUUUUAAUCAAGCAAAUAGACAAACAUGUUGAUGAUAAAAAUGCGUAUGAACUAGAAGUCUAUAUUUGUAAGGUAUUGAACCAAAACAUCCCAGCUUCUUGUGUUGCCUCAACAUCAAACAUUCGGAAGGUUGCAAAGAGGUAAAAGACUGAACUGAAUCAAAAAGUCUUGUUAUUUCAAAACAAUAUCAGUAUUUUAACCUAUUAUUCUACUUGUUUUAAUUUUAAUUAAUUGGAAUUAAUUUAUAGGUUUUGUAGGCUAUGUUGAAUGCUUCAUUAAUAAUAUAACUUAUUACACCUGCAUUUGUCAACAGUGCUGUAAAUGCAUGUAUUAUUAACAAAUUUGACACUUAUUGACAAUAAUUAUUGAUAAUUGUGCAAUGUAUUAAUAGUGCAUGUAUAAAACUUUUCAAGAUAUAAUUCUUUUAACUUUUGUUUAUUAAUAAUUGUUUUUAAUUUGUUUUCAGAGAAUAAUUAUUUGUUAUUUAAUUUUGAUGGUACAUAGUAAUUAAACUAAUUAAUUACAGUAUUUACUAUUUUCAUCCAUAAAUUGUAAAAGAAAUACUGACUUAAAUUUUCUAUCAUGCAUAUAAUUCUUGUAUACUUUUAAUCACAGCUAAUUAAACUGAAAAGGAUAUCUUUGUUAAGGCUCUUCAUACAUAGUGAUAUUUGUGACAACAAAUGUGAAAAUAAUUAUGCUCGUCUUUAAAUGUUUAUGAUUACAAUGUAAUUGCCAAACAUUAAGUUCCUCAACUCACACAUGAGAAGAAAAAUAUGCUUGUUUUUAAAUAACUUGUAAAAUAACUGUCUUAUUGGAAGUUAAUUAUAUUUGUGCAUACAUCAAAUUGUGCUACUUACAAAUGCGCAUUAUGCUUGUUCGUUUGUAUAUCUUUAAAUAAUUUUUUUGUUGGAAGUUUAUCAAACAAACUGUUAAACAAAUGUUUCAACUUACAAGUUGUGAAAAAUGUUUUAAAUAUUUAAAAAAUAUUACUGUCCUACUGGAAGUUUACUGUAAAAACUAAAAUGUUUUAAAUGUCAUAGUGUACCCAAGUAUACACAAGUGGUUAUUGUGACACUUUACUUUCAUUGUGAUUGGCCAUUAUUUAAACUCACUGCUGAUAAAGAGUCCUUACCAAGAGAACAACUUUGCCACAUUAAGGUUCAAUAGUCUCUAUACAGAAUCAGAAUCAAUUUAUUGUCACCCCACUUACAAUACAUUGACAGUCUUAAAUGUCUAAGGAUCUCACACAUAGGCUACAUAAUGUACACCUAAAUUAGAAUUACAUACUUAACACUCUAGUGAAAAGUAAAAGACAAUAGUUUUGUUACUAAAUCCAGAAAACAAUUUCCCCGGAUGUUAAAGUCUAAGUGAGAGUGCUGAGUCUAAGUUAUUAGUUGGUGUACUAUUUUAAAUGUAUGGGACUUUUAGGACCCAAAGGUUGAAUAUCUUUCUUUGUAUGUUGAAAUAUCUGUGUUUUCUCAAUACGGUCAGUUAGGUGAUGAUGUCUGGCUUCGGUUCCUUCUCCAGUGUUUGACUUAUCUUCUCUGUGUUGACAAUUGUUCUGACGUUUCUUACUUAAUAUUCAAUGGUAAAUACAUCUCUGAAGCAUCUAUUGAAAUAUUCAAUUCAAUUCAAAACAGCUUUAUUCUCCUGGCAUAUACACAUAUAUACAAGAAUAGUGUCAAGAUUUAAUUCAUAUACUUACCAAAUUAGAAAAAAAAAACAAGAAUAAUAUAACAGAAAAUACAAGAUUUAUCAACAUGAAAUAGAAAAGGUUUAAAAUACAAUUAUUACAGUUGUUAAAAAGGUUACAAUUAAAACAGAUAACAUUAACAUUAAAACGGUUAAAGUAAAAAAAAAUAAAACAGCUUUCGGCAUAAACUAUUAAUUAUAGAGUACUCCACCUCCAGAAUCACCACAGGAAUUCAUUAAAGGAAUAUAUAGCCUUGUUGAUGAGAAACUUUUUAAAUUUUAUUUUAAAUUUAUUGAAUGUAGCCUCUGACUUAAUUUCAAUAGGAAGAUUCUUGUAAAAUUUUGAUCCAAUAUACUUUGGUCUCUUUUUAAAAAUUUGUAAAGUAUGGGGGCUUAUGGCUACAUUGUUACGAUUUCUUGUGAAAUGGUUGUGAUUAUCUCCUACCAAUUCCAGUUCCUGAAGUUUGCUUUAAGUGACAAAAUAGUUUCAAAAAUAUACAUCCCAUAGAAGUCAUAUUUUUUUCUUCUUUAAAGUAUUCCAUAACAGAUGUUCUAGUAUGAAGAUUAAAAAUUAUUCUAAUUGCUUUUUUUCUGCAUUUAUAGAAUAGAAUUUAGAUUUUUUGUAGAAGUAGCACCGUAAAGUGAGAUUCCAAAAGAUAUUAUUGAGUAAAUAUAUGAAAAAUAAAUAACCUUUAAUGUUUCUUUUUCGCACAGGUUUCUCAGUGUAAUUAAUGCAUAUAAACCUGAUGAAAUUUUGGAAAGUAAUUUUUACAAUACACAAGGUAGUAUCUGGCAUUAUCAUCUUCUGCAUCACUUAGUUCAAUUUGGGUGAAGGAACACUUUUGAUAGCAUUAAUUCUUUCCUUUCUGAUCACAAGGAGCAUUUUCCAGGGUCUUCAAUCAUAUGGUGUUCUCUCAACUGUUUUUGACUUGCCUGCUGUUCAUUGGCAUAAUGGUAUAACAUGUACAGACAUAUUCAAUACUUCAAAACAGUAAUAGACACAGCAGGAAGAAUAAAGGAGCCUCUCACUGCUGUUUUCCUGGUGGUUUUUAUUACCUAUUUCUUUUAAUUGGAUCUUGACCAUUUACUUCUUGGCUCAGAGACAGCUCUUUAACUUCGCUUUGAGCCUCCAUCAGUCUUAUCUUCAGUUCUUUCUUUUUAUACUCUAGUCUUACUACUGGUUUUCUAUAAAGAUUCAAAAAAUCUUAAUACAAUUAAUCCUUGUGGGAUUAACAGUGAUUUUUAAUAUAGCCUAUGCAUACAAUAUUUUUGACAUGUCAUAUGAUUAUGCCUUGUGAGUUACUCUUCAAAUCAGAUCGCCUUUAUUGGAAUAGUUCACUCAGGUAAAUUAUCAUUCUCUUUGUGGCUCAAUGAGUUACCUUCAUGUUUGGAGGGUUUCCAUGUAGAAAUGUUCUUGUCAAAUCUACUUGCAGGAUGUUCACAACCCUCCAGUUGUAAGGGGUAACAACUGAAAUGAGCCGUCCAUAUUGGGAUCCUGUUCGUAGGUAAACUUAUCAUCUCCAGUAGUUAUCAGGGGUCUCCACUGAAAUGAGCCAAUUACGUUGAAGUCUUUCCAUCAGUAAAUCUUUUCAUCUCCAGAGUUGAAAGGGAUCUCCACUGAGGUGAGCUACGAUAGAGUCCUGUUCUCAAUAAAUUCAAUAUCUCAAUUGAGAUGAAUCAUUGGGGAAUUGUUCUUCAAUAAGUUGUCAUCUCUAGUUAUGAUAUGUCACAAUAGAGAUGAGCCAUGCAUGUUGGUGUCGUAUUUAUGAGUAAAUGUAUCUUCAUUAGUUGUGACGGGUCUCCGCUGAUGUGAGCCAGCUAGUUGGGUUCCUGUUUGUCCUUAAAUUUGUCAACUCCAGUCAUGGGGGGUCUCCAUUGAGGUGAGUCAGUUGUGAGAAGUUUUCACAGAGGUGAGCCAUCUAGGGUUGAGGUCUUUUUAUCAGUAAUUUUAUCAUCUUCAGUUGGAAAUUUUGUCUUUGACUUUCAAAAUGUGUAUUGUUUUAGUAACUGAUACAGGGUUAUAUGAAGUAUUAUAUGUUAAUAAUUAAGUGUAAUUAGAUAAUAUAUGACCUGUUUUUUUAGUUAGUUGUCUUUGUAUUUCAAAGAAUUACACUAAAUAGUAUUAUGAUUAAGAAUAUUGCUGAAAAUGUUAACUAUAAAAUAAUAUUGUAGUAAAUGACACCAAAGGGAUCAUUAUCUUAAUCAUUUGUUCCAAAAUACAAUUGUAUAGAUAAAAAUACAAAAAGGGAGCUAACAUUUCAACAACAUUUACAGAACUGUGUUAUCAAAAAUGGGAUGUAGAAUCUGAAAAUGCUUAGUUAGCCUACAGAUGUGUGAAUAAAAUUGUUAACAUUUUAUAAUGUAAAUUGAAGUUAUUAUUUAAAAAGUAUGCAUGCUGAUAUAACAGAAAAAAUAUAACAUUUGUGUUGGUGUAUUUUAACUUUUGGUUUGACUCCAGUAGUGUUGUAAAAACAAUCUACUCGUGUGCACCCAUUCAGCACAUUACAAAAACAUUUUAAACCUAAAUUAUCCUCAUUUAUUUAUUUUUAAUGUAAGAGUACACUGUUUAUUUAUCCAAAGUUUCACGCAAAAGUUUUUUUUCUUAUAUAUAAUGGUGGAGAGUUAUCCUCCACAUUUUUAACCUCAAGUGACUCCCAAAAACGUUGAAUACCACUAAUGAUUGGUAAUAUUAAAAAGACCUCUUACUGAAAAAUGAGCAAUCAUCUUUUUUUUAUCUCAAUCAAAUAACCAUGUAACUUAACCCCUGUAAUUUAAUUUCUGAUUCUCAUUACAUUUUUGUGUAAGUAUUUGUGAAUUAUUGCUGAAGUAUAUCAUUAUUGCCCUCAUACCCCCUCAAACUUAACUAACAGAUUUGUCCUUAACUGGCGUGAUUUAAUCUACCCUCGACUGACUGUGCUUCUGCACUAACUGUAACAUGCAGUACAAUAGUCAAUCCUCACGUUAAAAUCAUGUAUGAAGUGUUCAUAUCAAAUAACCAGCAUGUUACAUAAUAAUAAUAAUAAUGGAAGAACAUUUAGUUAAAUAACAACAGAUUUUGUUCUCCUGACUUUUUUGUAUUACAACAUGUUAACGAUUGUUUAAUGCACAGUGUUAUAUGUAAUUUCCAUUUAUUACUUAUCAUCUUGACGUAACAUCAUGUGAAGUUCCUCGAUAAGUGCUACUUAAUUACAAUAAGGCUGAUUAAUAUGUACAAAUAAAAUAUGCUUAAGUUGUAUUAAACAAUAAUACAAUGUUGUACAAUUCAAUUAUAGACUCUGCAGAAAUGUUGUACUAUAGAUACAUUUUCAAGUACUUUUUCAAUCGUGUUAACCAACAGCCAUGCUGUAAUUUUAAACUAUUGCAUUUUAAUGUAUUGUUAUGCCAAAUAAAAUGAAGAAGGAAAUAAAGGCCAUUUGUACCUUCUCAA